Molecule: long non-coding RNA, 364 nt
Filed under: Malus domestica (apple)
Lineage: Eukaryota; Viridiplantae; Streptophyta; Magnoliopsida; Rosales; Rosaceae
Description: long non-coding RNA (MDOM_LNC001365)
Source: RNAcentral
UUUAAUUUAUUAAUUUUAUUUAACAUUCUUCAAACUUGAAAGACUCAAUUAAUGUACCUAAAUGUUAGUACUGAAAUAUAUUAUAUUGAACUAAUAUAUUUAAAUGUUAGUACCGAAAUGUAUGUACCUAAAUAUAUGCAUCGAAAUGUAUUAAUAUUAAAUUAAUGUACCUAAAUAUAUGUACCGAAAUGUAUGCACUGAAAUGUUAGUACCGAAAAUGUAUUAUAUUGAAUUAAUGUACCUAAAUGUUUGUAUCAAAAUGUAUGUACCGAAAUAUGUGUACCUAAAUAUAUGCACCGAAAUGUAUUAUAAUGAAUUUAAUAUACCUAAAUGAAGAAGAUAAAGUACAUCAAAAUAUAUUGUA